GAUGAAGAACGUAGCGAAAUGCGAUAAGUAAUGUGAAUUGCAGAAUUCAGUGAAUCAUCGAAUCUUUGAACGCACAUUGCGCCCGCCAGUAUUCUGGCGGACAUGCCUGUUCGAGCGUCAUUACAACCCUCAGGCCCCCGGGCCUGGCGUUGGGGAUCGGCGGAGCCCCCCGUGGGCACACGCCGUCCCCCAAAUACAGUGGCGGUCCCGCCGCAGCUUCCAUCGCGUAGUAGCUAACACCUCGCGACUGGAGAGCGGCGCGGCCACGCCGUAAAACACCCAACUCUUCUGAAGUUGACCUCGAAUCAGGUAGGAAUACCCGCUGAACUUAAGCAUAUCAAUAAGCGGAGGA
Molecule: unclassified non-coding RNA, 352 nt
Filed under: soil metagenome
Description: partial contains 5.8S ribosomal RNA, internal transcribed spacer 2, and large subunit ribosomal RNA
Rfam family: 5.8S ribosomal RNA (bases 1-120)
Source: RNAcentral